This is a long non-coding RNA of Tarenaya hassleriana, 607 nucleotides long. RefSeq lists it as uncharacterized. NCBI's taxonomy places the organism in Eukaryota, Viridiplantae, Streptophyta, Magnoliopsida, Brassicales, Cleomaceae. The transcript is spliced from 2 exons. The record is from RefSeq and is a predicted model, not a curated record.
UCACGAACGCAAGCAGUACGCACGAUAUUGUCCCCAGUGUCCAUGUCCUGAACGUCAGUGCCGGUUCUGUCGGAUCGUCGGUUAUCGGCACGUUAUAAUGAUGUUGGACAUAUUCUCCGGCCGAUGGGACUCAGCUCCGGCGACUUCGAAACUCGCCAUUCUCUACUAGUAUGUGUUUCCUUUUUCUUCAGACUUCGCUGUUCCAGUGAAGUUUCCGGCGGAAAGCUCGCCGGAAAAGGGAAAAGACCCUGAAACAGAGAAAGGUUAAAAUGUCUCCCGCACGUUAUUUGUUUUACCAGUUAUAAUGAUGUUGGACUUAUUCUCCGGCCGAUGGGACUCAGCUCCGGCUCUGCAGAUUUUCAAGGGAAAUUAUCUCAAGCCGACGAAAAUAGAAUCUGUUGGGGUUGGCUUUACAUCAGAGGGGAUGUUAGAUGAAAAGGUUCAGUCUUUUUUUUUUAAAAAAUGUAUAGAGAGAACUACGUCAGCAUGAACACAGUUCUUGCUUUUUUACAGAUUUAUGACUAUACUACUGAGUAUCCGGGCAGUGUGAAUUUCCUUCCAAUAUGUAAAUUCUAUAUAUAUACACGUUCUGGGCAGAUUAAUUACA